This 104-nucleotide microRNA precursor is filed under the name Marmota monax (woodchuck). Lineage: Eukaryota; Metazoa; Chordata; Mammalia; Rodentia; Sciuridae. The record is from RNAcentral.
AUUUGAAACAUUAGAUGAACCUAUUGAAAUGCAGAUUGUGAGUCAGAAGGUCUGGGUAUAUCCCAAGAUUCUACAUUUUUAACAAUUUCCUGAGUGAUUCAGAU